This 562-nucleotide long non-coding RNA is filed under the name Salarias fasciatus (jewelled blenny). RNAcentral's name for it is "lncRNA (ENSSFAG00005000950.1)". The record is from RNAcentral. Lineage: Eukaryota; Metazoa; Chordata; Actinopteri; Blenniiformes; Blenniidae.
UGGUCUUUCGUGGAUCUGUCUGUCGUCAACAGUGAGUAUCUAUCAGCUGGUUGAACCUUCACAACAGUCGUGACCACAGAAAAAAUUCUAAUUUGUCCCAUUGUGUUGUUUUUUCUUUCAGUCGUGACUGAACAUGAAUCCGAUGACGAGGAGACACUGAAAUGCUUCGUGAAGUCUAUACAGGAAAACUGUGAACUGGAAGUGAAGUGGACGAUCAAAGAUCAAGAUAUUGAUGAAGUCAACAGUCAGAUAAAGACAGAAAAUAAUGGAUGUUCUGCCACUGUGACUCUUAAAAAGUCACAUUAUCUUCACCCACAAACACACUUCCUGAGCUGUGAAGUGACUGACAACAGAACAGGAGAAACGUUUCGUUUCAGUCCUCGACCCUCAGGUGACACGAAAUCAACAAUGAAACCAGAAAGCUUCACAAAAUCAGCUGGAACUGAAACCAGUGGAGCUUCAGCAGGUCCACAAGGCUCGUGGUGGAUGCACUCGAUUGUCGCUGUGGGUCUGAUUGUACUCCUGAUCACAGCUGUGGUGAUCAUCAUCAGGUGGGAAAGGA